RNAcentral lists this transfer RNA (75 nucleotides) under Sphingomonas sp. BHC-A. RNAcentral's name for it is "tRNA-Val". It matches the Rfam family "tRNA". Rfam says of the family: Transfer RNA (tRNA) molecules are approximately 80 nucleotides in length. Their secondary structure includes four short double-helical elements and three loops (D, anti-codon, and T loops). RNAcentral also lists the same sequence under 4 other names. Lineage: Bacteria; Pseudomonadati; Pseudomonadota; Alphaproteobacteria; Sphingomonadales; Sphingomonadaceae. The record is from RNAcentral.
GGGCGAUUAGCUCAGUGGUAGAGCGUCUCGUUUACACCGAGAAUGUCGGCGGUUCGAGCCCGUCAUCGCCCACCA